Molecule: ribosomal RNA, 497 nt
Filed under: uncultured bacterium
Lineage: Bacteria
Description: partial 16S ribosomal RNA
Rfam family: Bacterial small subunit ribosomal RNA
Source: RNAcentral
GAUGAACGCUGGCGGCGUGCCUAAUACAUGCAAGUCGAGCGAACAGACGAGGAGCUUGCCCCUCUUACGUUAGCGGCGGACGGGUGAGUAACACGUGGAUAACCUACAUAUAAGACUGGGAUACCUUCGGGAAACCGGAGCUAACACCGGAUAAUAUAUUGAACCGCAUGGUUCAACAGUGAAAGACGGUUUUGCUGUCACUUAUAGAUGGAUCCGCGCCGCAUUAGCUAGUUGGUAAGGUAACGGCUUACCAAGGCGACGAUGCGUAGCCGACCUGAGAGGGUGAUCGGCCACACUGGAACUGAGACACGGUCCAGACUCCUACGGGAGGCAGCAGUAGGGAAUCUUCCGCAAUGGGCGAAAGCCUGACGGAGCAACGCCGCGUGAGUGAUGAAGGUCUUCGGAUCGUAAAACUCUGUUAUUAGGGAAGAACAAAUGUGUAAGUAACUAUGCACGUCUUGACGGUACCUAAUCAGAAAGCCACGGCUAACUACGUG